Long non-coding RNA from Seriola aureovittata, 658 nucleotides. RefSeq lists it as uncharacterized. The record is from RefSeq and is a predicted model, not a curated record. NCBI's taxonomy places the organism in Eukaryota, Metazoa, Chordata, Actinopteri, Carangiformes, Carangidae. The transcript has 2 exons.
CCUGUAGUUUCGACAGGAGCCAGAGGUCGGUGAUAAGCAUGCUAACAUUUUGAAAGGCUACAAUAACAUGCCGUCACACACUGGUGAAGGCUGCGGGCUGAGUCACUGAGGAGACACGAGCAACAAGGUGACUGCCUUGCAGCUGGGUUGGCUGCCAACACGCUGUGGGCUCCCACAGUAGCUGUUACUGUGGCCUUCAUCCACAGUUGGCAGCUCAUCCUCCUCAUCCUGGCGUCCAUGCCCUUCCUCUUCUAAGGCCAGUUUAAUUCAAAUGAGGACAGCGACGGGACAUUCCUCUGAGGACCAGGUGACGCUGCAACAGUCUGCAAAGGUGCUAAUAACAUGACAACACAAAGCUGCACUCUGAGACACCGGGCCAAAAUGACUCUGUCCAUAUUUAAUGAUUACUUUUUGGCUGUUUAUAUUUUAGUCAUGUGUUGAGCCAGUGUCUUGAGUGUUUUUGACAGAAAAUUUUGUUUUUUUUCUCAAAUGUUCAAGUCUUAAAUGUAAAACAUAUAUUACUUCACACAUUUUAAUAGCAGGUUAUAGUUCUGUGGUAUGUUGCUGGUUUACUUUUUCCUUGAAUUACACAAUGUUUUCCUUUUUUAUGUCUAAAAUAAACCAGUGUGAAAUAAACAAAGAAAGCUAAUAAGUCAAA